UGGGGAAUUUUGGACAAUGGGCGAAAGCCUGAUCCAGCCAUGCCGCGUGAGUGAAGAAGGCCUUCGGGUUGUAAAGCUCUUUUAGUCGGAAAGAAAGAGUUGCAAUGAAUAAUUGUGAUUUAUGACUGUACCCUCAGAGAAAGCCCCGGCUAACUACGUGCCAGCAGCCGCGGUAAUACGUAGGGGGCAAGCGUUGUCCGGAUUUACUGGGUGUAAAGGGCGCGCAGGCGGGAUAAAAAGUCAGUGGUGAAAUCCUACAGCUUAACUGUAGAACUGCCUUUUAUACUUUUAUUCGUGAGUUCGGGAGAGGGAGACGGAAUUCCAGGUGUAGUGGUGAAAUACGUAGAUAUCUGGAAGAACACCAGUUGCGAAGGCGGUCUCUUGGUCCGACACUGACGCUGAGGCGCGAAAGCGUGGGGAGCAAACA
Molecule: ribosomal RNA, 427 nt
Filed under: uncultured bacterium
Lineage: Bacteria
Description: bacterial SSU rRNA
Rfam family: Bacterial small subunit ribosomal RNA
Source: RNAcentral